CGCGUGUACUGGUCCGGCCGGGCCUUUCCUUCUGGAGAGCCCCAUGCCCUUCACUGGGCGUGCGGGGGAACCAAGACUUUUACUUUGAAAAAAUUAGAGUGUUCAAAGCAGGCCUUUGCUCAAAUACUUUAGCAUGGAAUAAUAAAAUAAGACGUGCGGUCCUAUUUUGUUGGUUUCUAAGACCCCCGUAAUGAUUAAUAGGGAUAGUCGGGGGCAUCAGUAUUCAUUUGUCAGAGGUGAAAUUCUUGGAUUUAUUGAACACUAACUACUGCAAAAGCAUUUGCCAAGGAUGUUUUCAUUAAUCAGUGAACAAAAGUUAGGGGAUCAAACACUAUCAUAUACCGUCAUACUCUUAACCGUAAACUAUGCCGACGAGGGAUCGGGCGAUGUUUCUAUCUUGACUCUCUCGGCACCUUACGAAAAAUCAAAUUUUUUGUUUUCUGGGGGGAGUAUGGUCGCAAGGGUGAAACUUAAAGAAAUUGACGGAAGGGGCACCACCAGGCGUGGAGCCUGCGGCUUAAUUUGUCUCCACACGGGGAAACUCCCCAGGUCCAGAUGAAAUAAGGAUUGACAGAUUGAGAGCUCUUUCUUGAUUUUUCAGGUGGUGGUGCAUGGCCGUUCUUAGUUGGUGGAGUGAUUUGUCUGCUUAAUUGCGAUAACGAACGAGACCUUAACCUGCUAAAUAGCCAGGCUAGCUUUGGCUGGUCGCCGGCUUCUUAGAGGGACUAUCGG
RNAcentral lists this ribosomal RNA (732 nucleotides) under uncultured eukaryote. RNAcentral's name for it is "SSU rRNA". It matches the Rfam family "Eukaryotic small subunit ribosomal RNA", at positions 670 to 1426 of the family's 1831-position model. The record is from RNAcentral.